GGUCUUAUAGUUUACUUAAAACGUUAGGCUGCAAUCCUAAAAAUGCUUUUAGCUAAGACUU
Molecule: transfer RNA, 61 nt
Filed under: Ephemerella sp. MT-2014
Lineage: Eukaryota; Metazoa; Arthropoda; Insecta; Ephemeroptera; Ephemerellidae
Description: tRNA-Cys
Rfam family: tRNA
About the family: Transfer RNA (tRNA) molecules are approximately 80 nucleotides in length. Their secondary structure includes four short double-helical elements and three loops (D, anti-codon, and T loops).
Source: RNAcentral